Molecule: long non-coding RNA, 1017 nt
Organism: Cynoglossus semilaevis (tongue sole)
Lineage: Eukaryota; Metazoa; Chordata; Actinopteri; Pleuronectiformes; Cynoglossidae
Exons: 8
Source: RefSeq, a predicted model, not a curated record
CUCGGUCCAGCUCUGAGUAUUUGUCCAAGGAACGCUUGUGUGUGAGAGACAACACGUCCUGCAGAAUGUCCAUCUUCCUCAGGAUUUUACACAGACUGUGAACACGCAUGGCCUCCUCGUGUCUGAUCACUGCACAGCGCAGGGUCCUGUAAAACUUGGCUGAGUGAGGGUCCAGCAGGACUGUUGACAUAGAACUGAAGGAAAGCUUUCUCAGCCUCUUCCACAUGCUGCUGUUGUUUCUCUUCACCCCCCUCCUUCUUCUCUUCGUCAUCAUCAGUAGAUGCUGGACAAAUAUAUAAGCCGAUAGUUUUUUGACCAGGACAUGUCCAGAAUAUAUGUGAUCACAGAGAGUGACAGCAGUGUAGUAAUGGGACAGUGCUCGGAAAUGUUCCGAUUUGACCUGGACCAUCGACGCCCAUGAAAACGGCACGUAGUCUUUCAUCAGCGGCUGCGUCACGGCCUGCUGCACUAACAGAAACACCAACAUGGCGGCGAUGUGCUCACUGACCCGUGUAGCUUCCUGUGCCAGCCGGAGUUGAGAUGUGAAGUGUGAAUCGCGUGUCGUGAGAGUGACGCGCUCAAAGAUGCACUCCUGCACCUGAGCAACCAUGAGCCGGACCAGCAUGCAAAGCGACGGUGCGCUCAUGUCCAGACUGGGGGCGUUGGAGAAAUUGUCCUUCAGAUCCGACCCCUGACCCCUGCCGUCCUCCAGCAGUGGCCUUCUGUUACUGAGACAGUUGGUCAGUGCAAAAGAGAACCUCAGAGAAUGUGAAGUUGCCGAGGAAGGAGGAGGAGGAGAAGGAGAGUGAACAGCUCCUACCUUCAAGGGUUACAAGUCAGGAGCUCGUGUGGAUUCAAACCCUCGACUUUUGAAUGAAAGGUCCCAGCUGAGUGAGUGUCUGGUGGUUGGUCUGGUAGAACCUCGUCUAUGGUGACCACUAUCUCCUCCGGUCUGGUGGAGCUCAGACAGUUGGAGGUGUGUUUCAAGGAUAUGUAGCUCAUCUCCAUCAGCCGUGG